AAGUAAUGAAGUAAAAUUACAAUUAGUUUCGACCUAACUUAAGAGUCAAAGAACUCCUUACUUA
Molecule: transfer RNA, 64 nt
Filed under: Notobitus elongatus
Lineage: Eukaryota; Metazoa; Arthropoda; Insecta; Hemiptera; Coreidae
Also listed under: 1 other name
Description: tRNA-Arg
Source: RNAcentral